This 518-nucleotide ribosomal RNA is filed under the name uncultured bacterium. RNAcentral describes it as "partial 16S ribosomal RNA". It matches the Rfam family "Bacterial small subunit ribosomal RNA", at positions 355 to 861 of the family's 1533-position model. The record is from RNAcentral.
UGGGGAAUAUUGCACAAUGGGCGCAAGCCUGAUGCAGCCAUGCCGCGUGUGUGAAGAAGGCCUUCGGGUUGUAAAGCACUUUCAGCGAGGAGGAAGGUGGUGAGCUUAAUACGCUCAUAAAUUGACGUUACUCGCAGAAGAAGCACCGGCUAACUCCGUGCCAGCAGCCGCGGUAAUACGGAGGGUGCAAGCGUUAAUCGGAAUUACUGGGCGUAAAGCGCACGCAGGCGGUUUGUUAAGUCAGAUGUGAAAUCCCCGGGCUCAACCUGGGAACUGCAUUUGAAACUGGCAAGCUAGAGUCUCGUAGAGGGGGGUAGAAUUCCAGGUGUAGCGGUGAAAUGCGUAGAGAUCUGGAGGAAUACCGGUGGCGAAGGCGGCCCCCUGGACGAAGACUGACGCUCAGGUGCGAAAGCGUGGGGCAGCAAACAGGAUUAGAUACCCUGGUAGUCCAGCCGCUGUAAAACGAUGUCGAUUUGGAGGUUGUGCCCUUGAGGCGUGGCUUCCGGAGCUAACGCGUU